UACAGAGGGUGCAAGCGUUAAUCGGAAUUACUGGGCGUAAAGCGUGCGUAGUCGGUUAUUCAAGUCGGGUGUGAAAGCCCCGGGCUCAACCUGGGAAUUGCAUUCGAUACUGUUUAGCUAGAGUUCGGCAGAGGGAAGCGGAAUUUCCGGUGUAGCGGUGAAAUGCGUAGAUAUCGGAAGGAACAUCAGUGGCGAAAGCGGCUUCCUGGACCAGAACUGACGAUCAGGCACGAAAGCGUGGGGAGCAAACAGG
Molecule: ribosomal RNA, 253 nt
Filed under: uncultured bacterium
Lineage: Bacteria
Description: partial 16S ribosomal RNA
Rfam family: Bacterial small subunit ribosomal RNA
Source: RNAcentral